This 3739-nucleotide long non-coding RNA is filed under the name Homo sapiens (human). RNAcentral's name for it is "non-protein coding lnc-GCLC-1:4". Lineage: Eukaryota; Metazoa; Chordata; Mammalia; Primates; Hominidae. The record is from RNAcentral.
AAUAUCCGGUGUUGGAGGUGGAGCCUGGUGGGAGGUGAUUGGAUCAUGCGGGCAGAUUUCUCAUGAAUGGUUUAGCAGCAUCCCCUUUGUCCUGCCCUUGGAACAAUGAGUUAUCUGUCAGAUCUGGUAGUUAAAGAGUGUGUGGCACCUCCCCCUCGCUCUCUUCCUCCUGCUACUGCCAUGUGAGAUACCUGCCCCUACUUUGCCUUCUUCCAUGAUUGGAAGCUUCCUGAGGCCACCCCAGAGUCAGAAGCCGCUAUGCUUCCUGGACAGCUUGCAGAACCCUCCUCCAUUAACCCCUGCAGAGUAUUCACUGACUGCUGAAACUAGAGCAUCACUGAGAAGCAAGAGAUAGACUGACCUAACUAGAGGGAGAGCUGCCAUCCAGGAUGAUGCCACCAUCACAGGAGGUGAGAAGGAACACAGCAUCUUCUGCAAAUGCUACAGUAAAUAGGGACGGGGUGCAGCAAUGUGAGGAAAGUGGAAUGAACUUGGACUUUGAAGGCAAACUAACCUGGAAUCAAAUACUGGCUCUGCUGUUUGCAAGUGUGAUCUUUGGGUAUGCUUCCUAAUCUGUGAGCUUCAACUUCCUCCUCUGUAAACCAAGAUCAAAGACAAACAGGGAAACCUACUUGUCUGGUGCCCAUCCCCUUGGCAGAACACUCCUCUGAAGGAUGACAGUUUGGCUGUGCCAGGGCAGAGCUGCCGACACCAAAUGAGCCUUCAUAGCAACUAUCUGAUGAGGAACUCACUGGCCUACCUUUCCUUGACAGCUGGGGCCUGCCAGCCUUGAAGCAUGACUCCACAACGCCCCUACCCAAGGCCAUGGAGGUUGCUGCUGAUGAGCAAGCUGUUUUAUAUUUAAUCCAGGUUUCUGCUUGGAGAGGAAGAAGGUAGAGGAGCCAGCGAAGGUUUGUCUGAAUGAUACUUGCAGAAAAAACACUGGUAACAGUCACAAAACUUUGAAAAUUAAAGUGCCAGCGAGGUGGCUUUUGGUGGCCAGAUGAAAGCUGUUAACCCCAGCUUUUACAAAUGCUGGGCUUUGAGUAAGAGGAGAGUGUCUUUCUGGAAAAGUUUGAGACCUCUUACUAUUGUAGCAGCAAAAGCAUCCACGGCUAGUGUUUUCCAAGCUCACUGCUACUUGUUGCAGUCUAGCAGUGUUGUGUCUCCUGAAAUUCCUACCUUUCUUGAUGGAUGUAAAAGAAGUACCAAUUUAUUAAGCUCCUAGUAUGUGCCAGAUGCUCCAUAUAUGUUACUUUUGAUCUUCAGAACCACUCAGCAACUUACUGCUUCUCCUCACUCCCAAUUACAUAGAUGAUGAAAUUGAAGCAGAGUAGUUUGUCUAGGAUUACAGAGCUAGGAGGGACCAGAGUUGGGAUUCUCCCUCAGUUCUAAUACACAGUAUGCUACAUUUCCUGUCGAGUAGUAACAAAGCUUCUAAGAAAUCUGAGUUUUCAUUUGUUAAAACUGAAUUUUUAAGAAAUGUAGACAGGAGCACUAAGUACUCUAUAGUUUAACGUUAAUAAUGGUACAAGUAUAUAACCAGUUUCUCAUGCACUGGCAUAACAUACUUCAGAGGGUACACCAGGGCUGGAUGAAUAUCUGAACCCAAAAAUAUCUGAGACAGGUCUCAGUUAACUUAGAAAGUUUAUUUUUCCAAUUUUGAGGACAUGCACCCAUGACACAGCCUCAGGUGGUCCUGACGACAUGUGCCCAAGGUAGUUAGGGCAAAGCUUUUUUUUAUACACUUUAGAGAGACAGGAGAUAUCAAUCAAUAUAUGUAAGAUGUACAUUGGUUAUGUCCAGAAAGACAGGACAACUAAAGCAGGGAGGGGGCUUCCAGGUCUUAUGUAGGUGAGAGAUAAAUGGUUGCAUUCCUUUGAGUUUCUGACUAGCUUUUCCAAAGGAGGCAAUCAAAUAUGCAUUUAUCUCAGUGAGCAGAGGGGUGACUUUGAAUAGAAUGGGAGGCAGGUUUGCCCUAAACAGUUCCCAGCUUGACUUUUCCGUUUAGCUUAGUGAUGUUGGGGCCCUGAGAUUUAUUUUCCUUUCACACUUCUUCCAUUUUCUUUUUAAAAAUCUUUUGAAGAAAGCAUUUUAGAAGAAAAUGAGUCUCUGCUCUCAUGGCUAGGAUAGUUUAUUCCUACAGGGGUAGGUCCCAAGUUAUUAGGAAAGCUCAUUUUUAGCAGAUUGAGAAGUCUCAUGUCCUGUGAAGAGACAAUAGUAGGAGGAAGGGAGAAAAACAACAAACAAGAGAACAAUCCUAGAAAAUCUAUAUAGACCACAUUACUUUGAAGUCCAUACAUCAGUAGGUAGGUAUGAAAGUGGCUUAUGUACCUAAAUAGUUUGCUUUUAUUUUCUUCUGAAGUUUAAGUUGUCUAGAUUCAGUUUGCAGGACUUUAGAAAGUACAGCUUAGUUUUCAAUUAUUUCGAAUUAGGAAAAAUGGGGUGAGGGGAAGGAAAAGAAGGAAAAAAAUUGAAAACAUUAUUUUGGAGACUUGUAGCCAGGAAAAAUUAGAAUUCAGUCUAAACUGUAGAAAAUAAUAAAAAUAGAAAAACAUUAGGCAAGACUAAAAUCUAACAACAGGUGCACUAUAGUUUUUGAAACGUAUUUUUUCUCUCUCCAGUUUCCCAUUUUCACUAAAAACAAAUCAUAGAAGAACCAAUUUGCUUUAUUAUACUUGGCCAGAUUAUUUGUAUGAAGUGAAGCAAGAAUAAUUAUUUUUCACAUAGGCUUUUAAAAUUAGCUUUGAUGGACUUCUUCCAUAGAAGGAAUCUCACAUAAGCCUUUUUUAAAGCCAAGCCCAGCCACAGAUUUGUACCAUCAAAUACCUAUGAGUUGGGUGAAUUAUUCUCCUUUUGAGUUCCAACAUAACUUAGGGCUCUUGGGCCUGUCAGAAAGUGACAUUCUUUACUUACCACAGGUCAGGAACACCGUUCAGGGACUGUGCAGACAAGGUAUGAGGCCAGUUUCCCCAAGGGGUUUUUAUUGGCUCUAUAAAUCAAGUUUAAUACCUUAAAGGAAAGCACACCAUUCCAGCCAAAGACUCAGUAAAAUAACCAGUUUCUCCAAUUGUGUCCUGUUACAAAUAAAAACAGAUUCUUAUUUCACUUAUGCAAAUAACUAUAUUGCCGUAAGUCACGAAUACUUACAAGUAGUUUCCAAAUUUUGGAGAAAUCAGGUAGAGAGAAACAAAUAAGCUCCAAAUUUCGUUCAUAGGAGUAUACUUGUUAAAAGCUGUCAAUAGCUCAAAAGAAAAGUUUCCUUGACUCUGAAAAACAAAACAAAGGAUCAGCAACGUUUUGUGCAAAAAGUCAAAAAGACUACUUCAGUCUUCUACUGGUUCAGUCCAUGCAGUUAAUUUCUGUUCUGCUUGAUAUUCGUGAACAUUUCAGCUCUCCGUAAGUCCUGAAAGUUUUUCCUCUUUUCUAAUGUCACAAUCUCCAAAGUUAUCAGAAAACUGCAUUCAAGAACACAUGUUAAGAGUUUUAUAGCUGAUUAUAAAACUACCUUCAAAAGAGGAACAAAACAAGACAACAAUUGUCCAUGGAUGACAAAAAAUUUUAGGGCAGCCAUAGUCAAAGACACAGUUGACAAGAAAAUUUGUUACCUCUGUGGCAUACAAUAAUUUAACAUAACAAUUAUAAUUACUGAUAACAUACACUAAGUCAUAUCAGAAUUUUAGGAGUUUCCUAUUAUUUUGGAACAGAUACCAAUAACACAUUUAUACAAAUACAGCCC